UACGUAGGGUGCAAGCGUUGUCCGGAAUUUAUUGGGCGUAAAGAGCUCGUAGGCGGUUUGUCGCGUCUGCCGUGAAAGUCCGGGGCUCAACUCCGGAUCUGCGGUGGGUACGGGCAGACUAGAGUGUGGUAGGGGGAGACUGGAAUUCCUGGUGUAGCGGUGAAAUGCGCAGAUAUCAGGAGGAACACCGAUGGCGAAGGCAGGUCUCUGGGCCACUACUGACGUGAGGCGCGAAAGCUAGGGGAGCAAACAGG
This 254-nucleotide ribosomal RNA is filed under the name uncultured bacterium. Its description in RNAcentral is "partial 16S ribosomal RNA". It matches the Rfam family "Bacterial small subunit ribosomal RNA", at positions 524 to 776 of the family's 1533-position model. The record is from RNAcentral.